RNAcentral lists this ribosomal RNA (484 nucleotides) under uncultured Gammaproteobacteria bacterium. Its description in RNAcentral is "bacterial SSU rRNA". It matches the Rfam family "Bacterial small subunit ribosomal RNA", at positions 8 to 483 of the family's 1533-position model. Lineage: Bacteria; Pseudomonadati; Pseudomonadota; Gammaproteobacteria. The record is from RNAcentral.
AGAGUUUGAUCAUGGCUCAGAUUGAACGCUGCGGCAGGCCUAACACAUGCAAGUCGAACGGUAACAGGAAGAAGCUUGCUUCUUUGCUGACGAGUGGCGGACGGGUGAGUAAUGUCUGGGAAACUGCCUGAUGGAGGGGGAUAACUACUGGAAACGGUAGCUAAUACCGCAUAACGUCGCAAGACCAAAGAGGGGGACCUUCGGGCCUCUUGCCAUCGGAUGUGCCCAGAUGGGAAUAGCUAGUAGGUGGGGUAACGGCUCACCUAGGCGACGAUCCCUAGCUGGUCUGAGAGGAUGACCAGCCACACUGGAACUGAGACACGGUCCAGACUCCUACGGGAGGCAGCAGUGGGGAAUAUUGCACAAUGGGCGCAAGCCUGAUGCAGCCAUGCCGCGUGUAUGAAGAAGGCCUUCGGGUUGUAAAGUACUUUCAGCGGGGAGGAAGGGAGUAAAGCUAAUACCUUUGCUCAUUGACGAACCCGCA